CUGCAGACCCAGCCCCAGAAUUUUCCAGUGCAUUUCCUGUGUGGCCCUCUUGGGCUGGUCACACCGGCUCUCAGUGCAAUGGUUCUGAUGGACUGUGUGCCAGCUUCAAGUGUUUGGCCAACUCCAGCAACUUCUGGUCCUUUCUCCAGAGAGAGGGUAUGGAAGCUGGAAGCUGUACUGACCAGGCCACUUUGUUAGUUGUUCUAGGAAGUCUUACUCCUACUUGGCAAACAAAAUGUAUAGACAGAGGUUUGGCUGGAGCAAUGGGUGUCACAACUGCUGCAGUCCCAGUUCAUUCGCAGUGCCAUGAAGGGAUGGAGCUGCCAUCACGGAGACACCGAUGCUUAGAACCAGUUCUUGCAGAAAUAUGUAGACGGAGAGAAGAAUCUUUGCCUCUCUAAGGACUAGUCCUUGCUCUUACAAAGGGAAGGAAGAAAGAGAUCCAAAAAAUAUUGGGACACAGGAAUUUCUGAUUAGCAUCCCUGGCCAAGUGAUAAAGAUACAUUACAUGCUACACAGUUCUACAAGAGCCCGUCCAAAUCCCCGCUCCCUUGCCCAACGGCGCCCUUUGCAACACAAUAGCUCACACUUCAGGCCUGGAUUUCAAGUCAGCGAUGUGAGGUGGCUGGCGAGGGGGUUUGGCCCCGAGACAACUUGGAAGCUUCGCUGUGAUUUGGAAAGAACGGCAGCCCUUGUUCUGAAAAGGGACAAGGAAAAGGGGACAGAAUUCUCAGCUGCACGAUAAUGAGAAUACGAUGAAACUGCUUCAAGAAGAUGUCCAGCCAGCAGUAGAGGAGUGUACACUUGUGCACGCUGCCAGUGACUGGGACUCGAGCCUGGUCAUGGUCACGUCGGGGGACAGGCUGACCGGGACCAAUGGGACGCUGGCUUUAAGAGCAUCCAGGCAGCUCUCCUAAAAAUGUGCUUUCCUCAUAACUGUAAACAGGAUUCAAUCUGUAUGUAAAAUAAGGACGCUCUUGUUUAAUUGUCUAGGUUUCUUAUAUAUUGACCUGUGGUCCUUUAGACUUGAGUGGCAGCAGAAACAUUAAUUUUUAUGCAUCUUGGGUACAAGAUAUAAACAAAAAGAGCAGACAUUACUUUUAAUGAUUCACAAGGCAGUGCAAAGAAUUCUGCUUUAGGAAUCAAGGCAAUGGACCUAAUUCUGCUGCUCUCCUGUAACUCUGGCUCUUUGAAACGAUGAUACAUUGUUUUACCUGUGGGACCCCCUGCUUCCUCCUUUCAUAAAGGGUUGGGGGUGGGAGGGAGGCAGCUGGGUUAGAUGCCUUUAGCCACGACCCAGCUUCGGAUAUCUUGCCUUCAGAGAUCUGAAAUAGGUUGUAAUAUAUUUAAGCAUUUUUCCCUCGAAAGAAGAC
Molecule: long non-coding RNA, 1373 nt
Filed under: Microcebus murinus (gray mouse lemur)
Lineage: Eukaryota; Metazoa; Chordata; Mammalia; Primates; Cheirogaleidae
Description: lncRNA (ENSMICG00000048384.1)
Source: RNAcentral